UACAGAGGGUGCAAGCGUUGUUCGGAAUCAUUGGGCGUAAAGGGCGUGUAGGCGGUUUGUUAAGUCAUGUGUGAAAUCCCUCGGCUCAACCGGGGAACUGCGUGUGAUACUGGCGGGCUUGAAUUCGGGAGAGGGAUGUGGAAUUCCAGGUGUAGCGGUGAAAUGCGUAGAUAUCUGGAGGAACACCGGUGGCGAAGGCGGCAUCCUGGACCAAUACUGACGCUGAGGAGCGAAAGCCAGGGGAGCAAACGGG
This 253-nucleotide ribosomal RNA is filed under the name uncultured bacterium. RNAcentral describes it as "partial 16S ribosomal RNA". It matches the Rfam family "Bacterial small subunit ribosomal RNA", at positions 524 to 776 of the family's 1533-position model. The record is from RNAcentral.